CGCUGGCGGCGUGCCUAAUACAUGCCAGUCGAACGCUUUUUCUUUCACCGGAGCUUGCUCCACCGAAAGAAAAAGAGUGGCGAACGGGUGAGUAACACGUGGGUAACCUGCCCAUCAGAAGGGGAUAACACUUGGAAACAGGUGCUAAUACCGUAUAACACUAUUUUCCGCAUGGAAGAAAGUUGAAAGGCGCUUAUGCGUCACUGAUGGAUGGACCCGCGGUGCAUUAGCUAGUUGGUGAGGUAACGGCUCACCAAGGCAACGAUGCAUAGCCGACCUGAGAGGGUGAUCGGCCACACUGGGACUGAGACACGGCCCAGACUCCUACGGGAGGCAGCAGUAGGGAAUCUUCGGCAAUGGACGAAAGUCUGACCGAGCAACGCCGCGUGAGUGAAGAAGGUUUUCGGAUCGUAAAACUCUGUUGUUAGAGAAGAACAAGGAUGAGAGUAAAAUGUUCAUCCCUUGACGGUAUCUAACCAGAAAGCCACGGCUAACUACGUGCCAGCAGCCGCGGUAAUACGUAGGUGGCAAGCGUUGUCCGGAUUUAUUGGGCGUAAAGCGAGCGCAGGCGGUUUCUUAAGUCUGAUGUGAAAGCCCCCGGCUCAACCGGGGAGGGUCAUUGGAAACUGGGAGACUUGAGUGCAGAAGAGGAGAGUGGAAUUCCAUGUGUAGCGGUGAAAUGCGUAGAUAUAUGGAGGAACACCAGUGGCGAAGGCGGCUCUCUGGUCUGUAACUGACGCUGAGGCUCGAAAGCGUGGGGAGCGAACAGGAUUAGAUACCCUGGUAGUCCACGCCGUAAACGAUGAGUGCUAAGUGUUGGAGGGUUUCCGCCCUUCAGUGCUGCAGCAAACGCAUAAUGCACUCCGCUCUGG
RNAcentral lists this ribosomal RNA (872 nucleotides) under Enterococcus casseliflavus. Its description in RNAcentral is "bacterial SSU rRNA". It matches the Rfam family "Bacterial small subunit ribosomal RNA", at positions 34 to 877 of the family's 1533-position model. Lineage: Bacteria; Bacillati; Bacillota; Bacilli; Lactobacillales; Enterococcaceae. The record is from RNAcentral.